Molecule: ribosomal RNA, 427 nt
Filed under: uncultured bacterium
Lineage: Bacteria
Description: partial 16S ribosomal RNA
Rfam family: Bacterial small subunit ribosomal RNA
Source: RNAcentral
UGGGGAAUAUUGGACAAUGGGCGAAAGCCUGAUCCAGCCAUGCCGCGUGUGUGAAGAAGGUCUUCGGAUUGUAAAGCACUUUAAGUUGGGAGGAAGGGCAUUAACCUAAUACGUUAGUGUUUUGACGUUACCGACAGAAUAAGCACCGGCUAACUCUGUGCCAGCAGCCGCGGUAAUACAGAGGGUGCAAGCGUUAGUCGGCAUUACUGGGCGUAAAGCGCGCGUAGGUGGUUUGUUAAGUUGGAUGUGAAAUCCCCGGGCUCAACCUGGGAACUGCAUUCAAAACUGACUGACUAGAGUAUGGUAGAGGGUGGUGGAAUUUCCUGUGUAGCGGUGAAAUGCGUAGAUAUAGGAAGGAACACCAGUGGCGAAGGCGACCACCUGGACUAAUACUGACACUGAGGUGCGAAAGCGUGGGGAGCAAACA